This 495-nucleotide ribosomal RNA is filed under the name uncultured bacterium. Its description in RNAcentral is "partial 16S ribosomal RNA". It matches the Rfam family "Bacterial small subunit ribosomal RNA", at positions 28 to 507 of the family's 1533-position model. The record is from RNAcentral.
GAUGAACGCUGGCGGCGUGCUUAAUACAUGCAAGUCGAACGCUGAAGGAGGAGCUUGCUCUUCUGGAUGAGUUGCGAACGGGUGAGUAACGCGUAGGUAACCUGCCUUGUAGCGGGGGAUAACUAUUGGAAACGAUAGCUAAUACCGCAUGACCACAGUUAUUGCAUGAUAACUGUUUAAAAGGGGCAACUGCUGCACUACCAGAUGGACCUGCGUUGUAUUAGCUAGUUGGUGGGGUAACGGCUCACCAAGGCGACGAUACAUAGACGACCUGAGAGGGUGGUCGGCCACACUGGGAGGGAGACACGGCCCAGACGCCUACGGGAGGCAGCAGUAGGGAAUCUUCGGCAAUGGACGGAAGUCUGACCGAGCAAGGCCGCGUGAGUGAAGAAGGUUUUCGGAUCGUAAAGCUCUGUUGUAAGAGAAGAACGAGUGUGAGAGUGGAAAGUUCACGCUGUGACGGUAUCUGACCAGAAAGGGACGGCUAACUACGUG